CGACCAUAGUGCAAGUGUGAAAAGGUAGAUGUCCUAUGAUUGUCAAUGACAAAACUCUGCGCCAUAGACCAAAUGACAUAAAAAUUAAUAACUAUAUGUCAUCGUACAGCCAUCAACAUUGAUCAAAACCUAACCUCAUAUCAACGUUUUAUAAUAUCAAAGCUAUUCCAAAAAACUAAUGGCUAGAUUUAAUACAAAACAAUAAACGAAGAACAAAUAUGAUAUACAGCAACAAACGACAACUACUGAACUAAAGGCUCCUGACAUUGUACACACACAUACAGAAUAUGGCAGGGUUGAAUAUUUUUACAUUUUCGAAAACUUAUGUACAGC
Molecule: long non-coding RNA, 333 nt
Filed under: Mytilus galloprovincialis (Mediterranean mussel)
Lineage: Eukaryota; Metazoa; Mollusca; Bivalvia; Mytilida; Mytilidae
Source: RNAcentral